This is a long non-coding RNA of Salvelinus sp. IW2-2015, 950 nucleotides long. RefSeq lists it as uncharacterized. The record is from RefSeq and is a predicted model, not a curated record. Lineage: Eukaryota; Metazoa; Chordata; Actinopteri; Salmoniformes; Salmonidae.
UCACUCGUAUUGUAUUGUCAUGGGACUGAUCCAGUGCAGCACACAACCAUGGUUAUUAGUCUACUCUACAGAAGUGGUAGCCAGCAGACGGUUUUGCUUUAGUCACAAGUGUGUAGGGACUGACACUUCCAUUUACAACUACGCAGUUGAGUGUAUGUGAGAACUACGUCUAGUAGGUAUACCCAGACCAAGGAGAAUGAACUCAUUUUGGGGAAAUGCAACUCAUGGACGGGACCCUGACAACUGCAGGUUUACUGUGGAGGGUUGUCCCAGCGGAGAGUCGCCGCUGGCCUUGGCAGACCCAAGUUCACUAAAGGCUUGCAGAUGAAGAUGGAUAAAGUGAUCUCUAAGCAAGCGGAGGAAAUCUCAUCACUGAAUCUCUAGCUCCACACUCAAGACCUUUACCUGCAAACCAUGACAGAUAAGUAUGAGGGCAAACGGAAUAAGUACUCUAAGCUCCCAAGUGGAAUCUUCAAUGCAGCAGAAUACCACCCUUUGGUACCAUCUGGCAGAAUUCCAGAACAGUUGCGCUACAGCGUGACUACCCAACCCAACCAAGCUCCCAACCGGGUCUGGGUACACAAAGGAGUGAAGACAACAGAAGGUUUCAGACUUUGCCUCUCUCAGGUGUCCCUCAGUCUUCUCCUCUUGGUCAUUCAGUACAGAGUAAUAUGGUAUAUACUCGCCAACAAAGCCAACGCUUGGCAUCUCUUGGCCUUUCGGCCCACAAUUCCCCAUAGGAUGAAGCCAACCCUCUCUCCGCCCACUUGGUAUGGAACGCCGUGACAAAAUCGUCAAAAGCUUCCGCACCUUGGACCCCUUUCCAGCGAAGCCUAACAACACUGAGACAUUCUUAGCAGACAUAGAAGACACUAGGGCUGGGAAAUAUGACCAAAAUCUCAAAUCCCGAUAUAGGUAAUUUCAUAUCCUGAUAACGGUACAUAUCACAA